This is a non-coding RNA of Prunus mume (Japanese apricot), 466 nucleotides long. Lineage: Eukaryota; Viridiplantae; Streptophyta; Magnoliopsida; Rosales; Rosaceae. The record is from RefSeq and is a predicted model, not a curated record.
UUCAGAAAUCGUUGCAAUGAUCAAAGAAUUGUUGGAGACUCACAUCCGACCAGCAGUGCAAGAUGAUGGUGGCGACAUUGAGUAUAGGGGAUUUGAUCCUGUUGCCGUUCCAGCUGCCCUUCAUCCUUCUUCUCAUCGCACGGGUUUAGCUAUUUCUAGGUUUCGUAAAAAAAGAGGAAGAUCGAAGGAAAAAGAAUUAGAGUAAUCAAAUGUCUAAGGAAAUGGUAUGAUCUACUAAUUUCCCACAAAGAAGAGCUUGGACAACUCAUUACCUUGGAGCAAGGGAAACCUCUAAAAGAAGCCAUUGGUGAGGUGAGUUACGGGGCUGGGUUUAUUGAGUUGUAUGCUGAGGAGGCAAAACGUGUAUAUGGUGAUAUCAUACCACCAACUCUUUCUGAUCGACGGUUGUUUGUUUUGAAGCAGGUGAACUUAUAUGUUUCUUUGAAUUUUGUAUGGCCUAUAUUAA